GGUGAUAUGGCUCAGUGGUAGAGCAGUUGCUUAGCAUGCAUGAGGCCUGGAUUCAAUCCCCAGCACUACCA
Molecule: transfer RNA, 71 nt
Filed under: Ictidomys tridecemlineatus (thirteen-lined ground squirrel)
Lineage: Eukaryota; Metazoa; Chordata; Mammalia; Rodentia; Sciuridae
Description: Spermophilus tridecemlineatus (thirteen-lined ground squirrel) tRNA
Rfam family: tRNA
About the family: Transfer RNA (tRNA) molecules are approximately 80 nucleotides in length. Their secondary structure includes four short double-helical elements and three loops (D, anti-codon, and T loops).
Source: Rfam by way of RNAcentral